UGAGUGUUCAAGACUGUUAAACAGAACUGGA
This 31-nucleotide non-coding RNA is filed under the name Homo sapiens (human). Lineage: Eukaryota; Metazoa; Chordata; Mammalia; Primates; Hominidae. The record is from RNAcentral.